GAUGAACGCUAGCGGGAGGCCUAACACAUGCAAGCCGAGCGGGAUUUGUUGGUUAGCUUGCUAACUAACAAUGAGAGCGGCGUACGGGUGCGUAGCACGUGUGCAACCUGCCUUUAUCUGGGGGAUAGCCUUUCGAAAGGAAGAUUAAUACCCCAUAACAUAUUGAUUGGCAUCAGUUAAUAUUUAAAGCUCCGGCGGAUAGAGAUGGGCACGCGUAAGAUUAGCUAGUUGGUGAGGUAACGGCUCACCAAGGCUGCGAUCUUUAGGGGGCCUGAGAGGGUGAUCCCCCACACUGGUACUGAGACACGGACCAGACUCCUACGGGAGGCAGCAGUGAGGAAUAUUGGGCAAUGGGUGAGAGCCUGAUCCAGCCAUCCCGCGUGAAGGACUAAGGACCUAUGGUUUGUAAACUUCUUUUAUACAGGGAUAAACCUACUCUCGUGAGGGUAGCUGAAGGUACUGUAUGAAUAAGCACCGGCUAACUCCGUG
This 489-nucleotide ribosomal RNA is filed under the name uncultured bacterium. RNAcentral's name for it is "partial 16S ribosomal RNA". It matches the Rfam family "Bacterial small subunit ribosomal RNA", at positions 28 to 507 of the family's 1533-position model. The record is from RNAcentral.